RNAcentral lists this ribosomal RNA (349 nucleotides) under uncultured bacterium. Its description in RNAcentral is "bacterial SSU rRNA". It matches the Rfam family "Bacterial small subunit ribosomal RNA", at positions 165 to 507 of the family's 1533-position model. The record is from RNAcentral.
AAUACCGCAUAGCCCCUGAGGGGGAAAGCGGGGGAUCGUAAGACCUCGCGUUAUACGAGCGGCCGACGACCGAUUAGCUAGUUGGUAGGGUAAAGGCCUACCAAGGCGACGAUCGGUAGCUGGGUCUGAGAGGAUGAUCAGCCACACUGGGACUGAGACACGGCCCAGACUCCUACGGGAGGCAGCAGUGGGGGAAUAUUGGACAAUGGGCGCAAGCCUGAUCCAGCCAUGCCGCGUGUGUGAAGAAGGCCUUCGGGUUGUAAAGCACUUUUGUCCGGAAAGAAAUCUUCCAACUUAAUACGUUGGGAGGAUGACGGUACCGGAAGAAUAAGCACCGGCUAACUUCGUG